GCCAGCAGCCAUAUCACCCUGUAGCCCAAGACUGGUUGCCCACUGAAGCUAAGCAGGGCUGAGCCUGGUCAGUACCUGGAUGGGAGAUCUCCUGGGAAAACUAGGUUGCUGCUGGAA
RNAcentral lists this ribosomal RNA (117 nucleotides) under Sinocyclocheilus grahami. The record is from RNAcentral. Lineage: Eukaryota; Metazoa; Chordata; Actinopteri; Cypriniformes; Cyprinidae.